CACAGAACUCGUGAAAAAAACCGAGUUCGGCGGGCCCUUCUGUUCUUUUCCAUUAGAGGCUCGCAUUUGACAGGAACAACAACGCAACGCCAGAGCAGUCUCACUUUGUUUUGUUCAAACACAACAGAUACACACAAUUUACAACGCGUAUAAUUCAGUGAUAGUUUAGUUUAGAGUGUUUAGCUGACGUGGUGUGUUAUUUCGGAUUGUCAGUUACUUCUAGAGUCCAGAACAUUAAACUGAAAGUCGUUCUUCAAUAAGUAGGUCAGUUAUGGCUGAGCAGCGAGACUCUGUUGAUGCAACAAUUGCUCCUCUACAGGGUGAGGUUGAGGCUCUCCCCCUCGGGACUUUGGUACCGCCGAAAAUAACGAACGCCAACAGACCGAUUCACGGCAGUUUGUUUCAGUUUAAAUUGACAGAGAUCGCCCUGAUACGAGGCAUAGGCGGUGGGUUCCCAUUCCAUUUGGGCACGGAAAUUCAAGAGUUUGGGAAAUUCGAUGACUUGGUUUUCAAGUAUCAAGUGACGACAGGCGAUCAACGUCAACAGUGGCGCUACAAAUUUGUACAGGCCAAGCACAAGUUGGACGAAGGCAACUAUCCUCAAGUCGCAGUCGCUGAUUCCUUUCCCGCGGGUGGGCCGAUCGCGAUCCUCGUUCAUCGCCAACGCCGUCGGAAGUGCCAGGAGCGGCGGAGCGGGAAAUCCCAUGAUGAUGAGUUCCAGAAGCAACGCCAACGUCAAAAGCCCCAACAACUGGAUGAUGAAUAACGCAGACAUCAAACGACACUUGAUCCCGUUCCCGAGGGUCGGCAAACGCCAGAAUCUCAUCCCGUUUCCCAGGGUGGGACGGGCCGGAUAUUACCAGCCUGGAUUCUUCCCCAGCACCGACGACGAGGAAAGCCAGGCCAGCAUCCAGCAGCAAUUCGCCCUGUCGUCCGAAGAGUCCCAGGCCUCCGCUCCGUCAUCUUUCCUCCUGUCUGGCAGCGAUAUUUUAGGGGCUUUGAAUAAUGGGCGAUCCAAUAGCGACGAAAGGACCGCCGUAUUCAUCCCUCGUCGAUGGAUGACCAACAGCCAAGAAUCGGAGGAAUAAUAAAAGAGUUACGUACACACAGUCACUUUCUAUUUAUAAACACAUACAGGUCACCUCUGCUGUAUGGGCUUAUAUCUGACUAAAACUCAUUUCAACAAUAUCAUAUACGAUGCAUUCCGCAGCAGCUGAUCUCUAAAUGUUAUAUCCAAAAAUCAAAGUCAAGUGUUAAAAAUUCUUUUACUCUCUCAAAAAUAUCUGCUAUAUAACCAAAAGUUACUAACUUAGUCAAUGGUUGCGUCACCCCUUGGUAAUGGGGGUCGAAAGAAAAGAGAUAUAUUUCCUCCUAUCGCCAUCUCCAAUCAAAAUUUUACGCAGUCUGAAAAAGGGCUACAAAAACAAACAAAAUAACAUAUUUAUUUUGACAAUUGUAUCGUGAACCAAAAAUUAAACCCCACCCAAAAAAAGAAGAAUUUUCGGAGAACGGUAGAAACAUUUUUUAAUUUUUAAAAUUUGAAUAUACUGUCGUGUGCAAGAAACAGGUGUGUCGUUUCAAUGUUAUCAAUGGGGGAAAGGUUAUAUAAUUUCGAUAUUUAUUUGAUCUGCAGUGUCAACACUCAUUGGCUCAGCUCUGCUGUUGUAAGAAAAUAAAAUUUAAAAGCUUAUUGAAAACUCCAAAAAAUGUGUAAUACAAAAGAAUCUAAAUUA
Molecule: unclassified non-coding RNA, 1733 nt
Filed under: Daphnia pulicaria
Lineage: Eukaryota; Metazoa; Arthropoda; Branchiopoda; Diplostraca; Daphniidae
Description: uncharacterized LOC124328565, transcript variant X4
Source: RNAcentral